CCUACGGGCGACAGCAGUCGAGAAUCAUUCACAAUGGGGGAAACCCUGAUGGUGCGACGCCGCGUGGGGGAAUGAAGGUCUUCGGAUUGUAAACCCCUGUCAUGUGGGAGCAAAUUAAAAAGAUAGUACCACAAGAGGAAGAGACGGCUAACUCUGUGCCAACAGCCGCGGUAAUACAGAGGUCUCAAGCGUUGUUCGGAAUCACUGGGCGUAAAGCGUGCGUAGGCUGUUUCGUAAGUCGUGUGUGAAAGGCGCGGACUCAACCCGCGGACGGCACAUGAUACUGCGAGACUAGAGUAAUGGAGGGGGAACCGGAAUUCUCGGGGUAGCAGUGAAAUGCGUAGAUAUCGAGAGGAACACUCGUGGCGAAGGCGGGUUCCUGGACAUUAACUGACGCUGAGGCACGAAGGCCAGGGGAGCGAAAGGGAUUAGAUACCCGGGUAGUC
Molecule: ribosomal RNA, 446 nt
Filed under: uncultured bacterium
Lineage: Bacteria
Description: partial 16S ribosomal RNA
Rfam family: Bacterial small subunit ribosomal RNA
Source: RNAcentral